RNAcentral lists this ribosomal RNA (404 nucleotides) under uncultured archaeon. RNAcentral describes it as "bacterial SSU rRNA". It matches the Rfam family "Archaeal small subunit ribosomal RNA", at positions 113 to 518 of the family's 1478-position model. The record is from RNAcentral.
CCUAAGGUGGAGGAUAACCUCGGGAAACUGAGAAUAAUACUCCAUAGGUCUAGGAGGCUGGAAUGCACUUAGGCUGAAAACUUCGGUGCCUUAGGAUGAGUCUGCGGACUAUCAGGUUGUAGUCAGGGUAAAGACCUGACUAGCCUACGACGGAUACGGGUUGUGAGAGCAAUAACCCGGAGAUGAUAUCUGAGACACGAUAUCAGGCCCUACGGGGCGCAGCAGGCGCGAAAACUUCGCUCUGCGCGAAAGCGCGACGAGGGAAUCCCAAGUGUAUGCACGUUAGUGUAUACUGUUUCUUUGUCUAAAAAGCAGAGAGAGUAAGAGCUGGGUAAGACGGGUGCCAACCGCCGCGGUAAUACCUGCAGCUCGAGUGGUGAUCGUUAUUAUUGGGCCUAAAACGU